UCUUGGAAUACACUGGAAGACUUUCAUAAGUUCAGAGUAUUAAUAUGUACAUUUCGCCUAUAAAACUUUCAUGGUAAAUAGAAAGACACGUGGGAAAUAAGACGGUUAUUCUUGAUUGUUAUCUUGAUGGAAUUUAGAAUUAGUCACCAUGGAAACAAAUCUCUGAGCAGGUACAUGAAGGAGUUUCUAGACUGGAUGAACUGACUUGAGAAGACCCACCUUAUAUGUGGGGGUCCUGGUCCAGAUUAAAAGAAUGAGGACCGGCUAUGGGCAUUCAUCUCCCUUGGUUUCGUGACUGAGGUGGAAGUGUGAUCAGCCUCCUGCCAUGCUGCCUUCCCUGCCAUGAUGGACUAUGACUUCAAGCUGUGAACCUCUCCUUCCUAAGUUCACUUUGUCAGACACUCUGUCAUGACAAGAGAAAGAAGUAAUCCAAGAAAUACAUUUAAGUAUUUAAGGAAGAUCAUUUCCUUAAACCAUGGCGAACAACCACAAAAUGUUAAUUAAGUGAGCAGAAAAAUGAGUGAAGACUGUAAACUCCAUAUCAAAAGGCUCUCCCAUCUGUACUGAAGCAGACUCGCCACAAAUGGGGCUUAUAAAUAGGAUUUUGGGGUGCUCCUGAUCUACCCCUGUUUCUUCACAGAGUAGCACUGUAGCAGAAUUCUGGACAGACAUUCUCACCGGCCUGGGACUAGCCAAUUAGGCUAUGCUAGUUGGCCACUGAGGCGUAGAGUUCUGCCUGUCUCCACCUUCCGGGUGCUGGGAUUAGAGUCGUGCACUGCCAAGCUCACGUGGGCUCUGGAGCCAGAACUCAGGUCCUCAUACUUGAACAGCACGUAUUUUACCGACUGAGCUUUCCCUCCAAUAGUCAAAUUUUCUCCAAUAGUCAAACAUGCCAGUAUAAUUGAAGAGGCCUCUUCCAAACUCCUCCAUAUCCAUAGGGUGGCAAUCAUAAGGGAGUACAAACCUGGCUUUUCCAAGUCACCUUCCCAGACACCUUUCCCCACUGCUCCGAGUUGUUAUGACUGCAGUUUUGAAUAGGUGCAGGAUGCUCGAUGGAGCAGCCAGAGACCUGCAAUAAGAGGCUUUCAUUUCAUCCAAAUAGUAACUCAGAUCACGAAUCACAUCAAGGCUGGCUUCCAGCAAUCCAUGUACUUUUAGCUCAUGGGCUGCUGGUUCUCAAUAAAAGUAUAGCCACUGGAAAUGAUUUCGACAUGAUCCUUUACCAAAAAUAUCUCUGAUGCAUUUUCAAAAAACAACCUGUUUCCCUCAACUUCUUGGACGCUUCCUACUGCCGGGGAAACAACGCCCAUGUUUAAAAGCCGCCAAGGCUAUGGAUCCCAAAGAACAGAACUUGAGUACUCUGUGUGCCCUGAAUGACUUUAUAGGCUCAAAACUCGAUUUUGAGAGGUCCAUAAAGGAGCACUCAGAGAGCAGAGGUUGGCCUGGGACAUGAGAACAGGAGCUGCCUUGGGGGCACAGCGUUUCUGUGAAUGUCCUUCCUGUCACCACAGCUCUAUUCGCUGACAAAAGCCCUGCUGUUUCCAACCAAUGGCAGGUCCAGGACAGUGCACUUCACCAGGACGGCAGUUCUGCAAAGCAGGCAAAACAAUUACUGGGAUGGAACCGGGCAGGAAACCCACUUCCUUUAUCCUCGGCAUCGGGAUGAAAAGAGGGACGGCGGCGGACGGUGAAAGGCUGGCCUUUCAGGCUGAUCCGCGCUGUCACCUCUUGUUACCUGCAUGAAAGAAGGGGAUUGUUUGGGCCUGAGGUCUCGACAAGCGUCUUGAUUUUCCAAAGCAGCUGCUGUUCAUCCACAGGCUCGUGGCUGGCCAGAGCCACCUGCCGUAUGUUUCCCUUUAUUCCCUGGUUCGGAUUACAAUGUAUACGGCUUUUAGCUUUAUUGCCUCCAA
This is a long non-coding RNA of Peromyscus maniculatus bairdii (prairie deer mouse), 1910 nucleotides long. RefSeq lists it as uncharacterized. Lineage: Eukaryota; Metazoa; Chordata; Mammalia; Rodentia; Cricetidae. The record is from RefSeq and is a predicted model, not a curated record.